Molecule: unclassified non-coding RNA, 155 nt
Filed under: plant metagenome
Description: partial contains small subunit ribosomal RNA and internal transcribed spacer 1
Rfam family: Eukaryotic small subunit ribosomal RNA (bases 1-46)
Source: RNAcentral
AAGUCGUAACAAGGUCUCCGUAGGUGAACCUGCGGAAGGAUCAUUAAAAGUUGUACCCUUCGGGGGCACUUCCACCCUUGCAAAUAUACAUCUGCUUGGUCUUCGGGGCCAAAAUUUUCUCUUGAACUUUCUUCUGAAUGAGACAAAUAAAAAAA